RNAcentral lists this ribosomal RNA (324 nucleotides) under uncultured eukaryote. Its description in RNAcentral is "partial 18S ribosomal RNA". It matches the Rfam family "Eukaryotic small subunit ribosomal RNA", at positions 1470 to 1796 of the family's 1831-position model. The record is from RNAcentral.
CCCUUAGAUGCUCUGGGCCGCACGCGCGCUACACUGGUCGAUGCAACGAGUUUCUUUCCUUGGCCGACAGGCCUGGGCAAUCUUUGAACAUCGAUCGUGAUCGGGAUAGAUUCUUGUAAUUUUUGAUCUUAAACGAGGAAUUCCUAGUAAACGCAAGUCAUCAGCUUGCAUUGAUUACGUCCCUGCCCUUUGUACACACCGCCCGUCGCACCUACCGAUUGAAUGGUCCGGUGAAAUCUCCGGACUGGCGUGAGUCGGAGCAAUCUGACAAACGCCGGAAAGUUGAUUAAACCUUACCAUUUAGAGGAAGGUGANGUCGUAACA